This is a small RNA of Streptomyces afghaniensis 772, 48 nucleotides long. It matches the Rfam family "raiA-hairpin RNA". The record is from Rfam. NCBI's taxonomy places the organism in Bacteria, Bacillati, Actinomycetota, Actinomycetes, Kitasatosporales, Streptomycetaceae.
CACCGAGUCCGAGGUCCCGGGGCACACCGGGACCUGGUGCAAAAGGGA